CCCAGCCUAACCAAUGUGCAGACUACUGUACACAUUCAGAGCCCCCUGAACAGGUAGUCUGAACACUGGGUUGGCGGG
Molecule: microRNA precursor, 78 nt
Filed under: Bos taurus (domestic cattle)
Lineage: Eukaryota; Metazoa; Chordata; Mammalia; Artiodactyla; Bovidae
Description: microRNA bta-mir-3604 precursor (bta-mir-3604-1)
Source: miRBase by way of RNAcentral